UACGAAGGGGGCUAGCGUUGUUCGGAUUUACUGGGCGUAAAGCGCGUGUAGGCGGGUCGUUAAGUCGGGGGUGAAAGCCCAGAGCUCAACUCUGGAACUGCCUUCGAUACUGGCGAUCUGGACCCAUGGAGAGGCAAGUGGAAUUGCGAGUGUAGAGGUGAAAUUCGUAGAUAUUCGCAGGAACACCAGUGGCGAAGGCGACUUGCUGGACAUGUGGUGACGCUGAGACGCGAAAGCGUGGGGAGCAAACAGG
RNAcentral lists this ribosomal RNA (253 nucleotides) under uncultured bacterium. RNAcentral's name for it is "partial 16S ribosomal RNA". It matches the Rfam family "Bacterial small subunit ribosomal RNA", at positions 524 to 776 of the family's 1533-position model. The record is from RNAcentral.